GAGAGUAUAGCUCAGUGGUAGAGCACGUGCUUAGCAUGCACAAGGUCCUGGGUUCAAUCCCCAGUACCUCCA
This 72-nucleotide transfer RNA is filed under the name Camelus bactrianus (Bactrian camel). It matches the Rfam family "tRNA". Rfam says of the family: Transfer RNA (tRNA) molecules are approximately 80 nucleotides in length. Their secondary structure includes four short double-helical elements and three loops (D, anti-codon, and T loops). Further hydrogen bonds mediate the characteristic L-shaped molecular structure. tRNAs have two regions of fundamental functional importance: the anti-codon, which is responsible for specific mRNA codon recognition, and the 3' end, to which the tRNAs corresponding amino acid is attached (by aminoacyl-tRNA synthetases). tRNAs cope with the degeneracy of the genetic code in two manners: having more than one tRNA (with a specific anti-codon) for a particular amino acid; and 'wobble' base-pairing, i.e. permitting non-standard base-pairing at the 3rd anti-codon position. RNAcentral also lists the same sequence under 2 other names. Lineage: Eukaryota; Metazoa; Chordata; Mammalia; Artiodactyla; Camelidae. The record is from Rfam by way of RNAcentral.